AGUGAACGCUGGCGGUAGGCCUAACACAUGCAAGUCGAACGGCAGCACAGAGGAGCUUGCUCCUUGGGUGGCGAGUGGCGGACGGGUGAGGAAUACAUCGGAAUCUACUCUGUCGUGGGGGAUAACGUAGGGAAACUUACGCUAAUACCGCAUACGACCUACGGGUGAAAGCAGGGGAUCUUCGGACCUUGCGCGAUUGAAUGAGCCGAUGUCGGAUUAGCUAGUUGGCGGGGUAAAGGCCCACCAAGGCGACGAUCCGUAGCUGGUCUGAGAGGAUGAUCAGCCACACUGGGACCGAGACACGGUCCAGACUCCUACGGGAGGCAGCAGUGGGGAAUAUUGGACAAUGGGCGCAAGCCUGAUCCAGCCAUACCGCGUGGGUGAAGAAGGCCUUCGGUUUGUAAAGCCCUUUUGUUGGGAAAGAAAUCCGUCUGGUUAAUACCCGGGUGGGAUGACGGUACCCAAAGAAUAAGCACCGGCUAACUUCGUGCCAGCAGCCGCAGUAA
This 506-nucleotide ribosomal RNA is filed under the name uncultured bacterium. RNAcentral describes it as "partial 16S ribosomal RNA". It matches the Rfam family "Bacterial small subunit ribosomal RNA", at positions 29 to 523 of the family's 1533-position model. The record is from RNAcentral.